CUACACUGGGCAUGAAUUAGCCUUCUAGAGAGCACACAUUCUGCAUGGAUGUGGGCAUAUCCGGAUUGUUAUUUACCUUCACUAGAGGGCAGGUAACCCAAUGCGACCACAGACCCUCCAGACUUCAGCAGGCAGAGCUGAAGAAUGUAGAUUUGGAUCUUAUAUUUGUAUAGCAUCGUUCAGACGAGACUUUCGGAGCCAAUCGUCAAAACUACCAUGAAGCUGUGAAACACUAGCUGUCCAUCAAGUGUACUCCUUCUACUCAUAAAAAAAAAGAGGUUAAAUGUGAAACAUCCUCAUUAAGGUCCUUCAGAAGGUGUUCCAGAGGAAGGCAUUGCUAUAUCAUAGGAGAAGACAACUUCAUGGCAUGUUACGGCCCCUGAAGGCCUUCCAGUGGGACAAUAUGUGGAGAUGGAAGCCAGUGUGAUAUUGAUGAUGCUGACUCUGUGUAGUCUUAGGCUAACAGCUUACGCAUAUUUAAGGGAUAUGAAUUAGCUCUAGAGUUUUCUCUAUGCAACGGAACAUUUAUGGAUAGAAUUGUGUAAUUCGUGAUGGUGACGACAAUAAGGGGAAAAGAGGAAAACGAAGAUAAAUAAUGUGGAGGAGGAAGAACAGGAAGACAAAGAGGAAAAGAAGGAGGAGAAGGAAGUAAUCAGUGCAUUUUGGCUUUUGCUACUAUCACUUAAGAUUCCCACUCUUAUGUGAACUCCCCCAACAAUGAUAAGAUAUCAUCAAAGAGAAUUGACUGUCAAAUUACUUCCCAAAUUAAACUGCAGCAGAACAUAUCUCUCUGGGAACUGAAGAAAUGAGAGACCUAAUUUUUUAUGACAUUAGAGAUCAUUUCAUCCAACUUUCUCAUUUUACACAUAAUGAAUCUAGGGCUGAGAGAGU
Pan troglodytes (chimpanzee) is the source of this 891-nucleotide long non-coding RNA. RefSeq lists it as uncharacterized. The transcript is spliced from 3 exons. NCBI's taxonomy places the organism in Eukaryota, Metazoa, Chordata, Mammalia, Primates, Hominidae. The record is from RefSeq and is a predicted model, not a curated record.